GACGAACGCUGGCGGCGUGCUUAACACAUGCAAGUCGAACGGAAAGGCCCUGCUUUUGUGGGGUGCUCGAGUGGCGAACGGGUGAGUAACACGUGAGUAACCUUCCCUUGACUUUGGGAUAACUUCAGGAAACUGGGGCUAAUACCGGAUAGGAGCUCCUGCUGCAUGGUGGGGGUUGGAAAGUUUCGGCGGUUGGGGAUGGACUCGCGGCUUAUCAGCUUGUUGGUGGGGUAGUGGCUUACCAAGGCUUUGGCGGGUAGCCGGCCUGAGAGGGUGACCGGCCACAUGGGGACUGAGAUACGGAGCAGAGUCCUAUGGGAGGCAGCAGUGGGGAAUAUUGCACAAUGGGCGGAAGCCUGAGGAAGCAACGCCGCGUGCGGGAUGAAGGCCUUCGGGUUGUAAACCGCUUUCGCCUGUGACGAAGCGUGAGUGACGGUAAUGGGUAAAGAAGCACCGGCUAACUACGUG
Molecule: ribosomal RNA, 468 nt
Filed under: uncultured bacterium
Lineage: Bacteria
Description: partial 16S ribosomal RNA
Rfam family: Bacterial small subunit ribosomal RNA
Source: RNAcentral